AUACGGAGGAUCCGAGCGUUAUCCGGAUUUAUUGGGUUUAAAGGGUGCGCAGGCGGGAGAUUAAGUCGGCGGUGAAAUUUUGCAGCUCAACUGUAAAAGUGCCUUCGAAACUGGUUUCCUUGAGUGUAGAUGAAGUAGGCGGAAUUUGUGGUGUAGCGGUGAAAUGCAUAGAUAUCACGAGGAACUCCGAUUGCGCAGGCAGCUUACUAAACUACUACUGACGCUCAGGCACGAAGGCGUGGGGAUCAAACAGGAUUAGAUACCCUGGUAGUCCACGCAGUAAACGAUGAUUACUAGCUGUUUGCGAUACAAUGUAAGCGGCUGAGCGAAAGCGUUAAGUAAUCCACCUGGGGAGUACGUUCGCAAGAAGGAAACUCAAAUGAAUUGACGGGG
RNAcentral lists this ribosomal RNA (393 nucleotides) under uncultured bacterium. RNAcentral describes it as "partial 16S ribosomal RNA". It matches the Rfam family "Bacterial small subunit ribosomal RNA", at positions 523 to 918 of the family's 1533-position model. The record is from RNAcentral.